This 3887-nucleotide long non-coding RNA is filed under the name Equus caballus (horse). RNAcentral's name for it is "lncRNA (ENSECAG00000054435.1)". Lineage: Eukaryota; Metazoa; Chordata; Mammalia; Perissodactyla; Equidae. The record is from RNAcentral.
CCUCGCGAGCGCCGCCGUGUGGCGGGAGGGCGAAGUGCCCGGUGAUUGGCCGCGCGGCGCGUCUCCAAGGGGAAGAGGAGUGAGGGGCGAGGGUUCGCCGCGCCCCUGGAGUCCUCUCUGCGUUGUGUGACAGUUCUUGUGGCGGAGAAGGAGGUUUCAUCGAGUGUGGAUACCCACCCACCCUGCCUCCCAGUGUCAAGAGCACAUGGUCCGCGCUGAGCUGCGGGUGUAGCCCAAAGGACUUGAGACCUCGUGUUCUGGGGGAGGACAGACAGAGUUCACCGUCUCCAGCUGAGGAAGACUUUGAAGGUGGAGAAAGAAGAUCUUUGAAGCCAAAGAAUACAGGCAGCCUCUAGAAGCUGGGAACGGCCCUCAGCUGACAGCCAGCAAGGAACAGGGACUUCAUUCUACGACUGCAUGGAACUGAAUUCUGCCGACAACCUGAAGGAGCGUGGAAGCAGAUUCUCCCCUACUGUCUCCAGAAAAGAACACAGCCCUGCUGAUGCCUUGAUUUAACCUGGUGAGACUCAUGCCAGACUUCUGACCGACAGAGCUGUGAUAAUAAACUUCUGUUGUUUUAAGCCACUAAAUUUGUGUUAGUUUGUUAUGGCAACAAGAGAAAACUAAUACACCCUGUAAGGGGUGGAGGGUGAGAAGUGAGCUCUUUUUCUUACCCAAUUCCUUCUUGUCCCACUCCAAUUUUUCUCAUCAGGAGCAUAAGUCAGACUUUGCAGAUAAGCUAUGCACAUUGCAUUGUAAGUACUUAAUUGAUAAGGGGUUGACUUUUGUUUAUGGUGGGUGCUAGGGAUCCAAUUUAAUAUCCAACUGAUAUUAAACAAUGUGAAUACUUUUUAUAGUUUAAAGUAAUUUGUAGAUUGGGGGGUUUUCUCUUUAAUCAUAUCAUCUGCAGAAGUUUUAUUUCUUCCUUUUUGAUUCUUUUGCCUUUUACAUGUGUCUCUCUGUGUGAGAAUGCCCAGGCUAGGCCUUUUAGCACAGUGUUGAAUAGAGUGAUAAUAGUAAACAUCCUCAUUCUGUUUAUGAUUUUAAAGGAAAGCUCUUAAAGUUUCACCAUGUGUAUAUGAUGUGUAUGACAUCUUUAUGCUUUUCCUUUUGUUUAUUGAGUUAGGGAAGUUUCCUUCUAUUUCUAUAAUAGUUUUUUUUUAAAUCAUGAGUGAAUGUUGACUCUCAUUAAAUAUUUCUUCUGUGUCUAUUGAGAUGACCACAUGAUUUUUUCUUGUAAUUUGUUAAUGAGGUGAAUUGCAUUAAUACAUUUUCUAAUGUUGAACCAAUCUUACAUUUCUGGAAGAAACCAAACUUGUCAUUUUAAAAAAUAUUCUGUUUAGAAUUAUUGCACUUAUGUUUAUGGAUGAGGUGGGACUGUGGUAAUCUCUCUCAUAUUGUCUUUGAUAGUUUUGAUGUUAAUAUUAUACAGAUAUCUACUUAAUACUAGUAAUUUGUUUCUGAAAAUCAGAUGUUGUGUGCAGAAACAUUAACUGGGAGCUUAUUUCCCUUUAAUUAAUUAACUAAUUAGUUAAUUUUGAAGAUUGGCACCUGAGCUAACAUCUGUUCCCAAUCUUCUUUUUUCCUUCUUCUUUUUCUCCCUAAUGCCCCCCAUAGUUGUAUAUUUUAGUUGUGAGUCCUUCUAGUUGUGGCAUGUGGGACGCCACCUCAGCAUGACUUAAUGAGUGGUGCCACGUCCACGCCCAGGAACUGAACUGGUGAAACCCUGGGUUUCCAAAGCAGAGCGUGCGAACUUAACCACUUGGCAUGGGGCCAGCCCUCCCUUUAUUUUUAUUUAUUUAUUUUUACAUUUUUUUGCAGAGAAAGAUUUGCUCUGAGCUAACUUCUGUUGCCAGUCUUCCUUUUUCUCCUUCUUUUUUUUCUUCCCAAAACCCCAGUGCAUGGUUGUAUAUCCUAGUUGUAAGUCUUUCUAGUUCUUCUAUGUCAGCUGCCACCACAGCAUGGCUACUGACAGAUGAAUGGCGUGGUUCUGUGACCAGGAACCGAACCUUGGCCACCAGAGCAGUGAGAGCGCUCAACUUUAACCAGUAGGCCAUCAGGGCUGGCUCCUCUUUGUUUUAAAUGGUAAAAUUAUGAUGGGUUACUUGUUAACCCAACCAAUUUUCUAAAAUGUAAAGUAAGAUAUAGUAAACAAACCUCUAUUAAAUAACAAACUAUAACAUUAGACUGUAAAUGUUCAUAACUUUGCGUCUUGAUCACCGAACAACAUAGCUGUUAAAGAGUUGCUUUGUCAGGAGGAACAGAUUCUCUUUCAUUGUUGAUGCUUUUCUGCUUGCUUUGCUUCCUUCUCCAUUAAGUUCUUGAACACUUUCUCAACGUUUUUGGUUCUCAUUCUACAAAAUUAGGGAAAAAAAAGGGCAAUAGGAAAUAUGAAGGCACUGUGGAAAUGUGGCAGAGAAUGGUUCACACUGAGGAUGUUACUGUAAUGCUGCUUUUGUCACUGGUAGCAUUUGUGUAGACUCUCCCUUUCAUUGAUAUUCACUUCACUUUGCGAUUUGUUGACACGUGAACCAGGCAUUUUACCAAUUGUGUUUGUAAUGUUACUCAAGGCAUUUCCCACACUUUGUUUUUUCUUUUUUGUCUGUCAUUGGUAAAAUGUUGUAUUGAGUUUUGGUGUCCUAAAUAUAAUUUUUCGUGUGUAAAUAUCAGUUGAAAUGUUGUUUUGAGAUAUAUAAAUGUUGUAUGAUAUUGGAGCAUUAAAUGCAAGAGGUAAUUUACUGGGAAAACAUUAAUUAGGGAAAUGUUCUGUGGAGAGUGCCUGUACUGGCUUUACAAAAUUAGGUAGAGAACUUUUCCUCUUUUACUCUUCUCUGAAAAAUUUAGUAUGUCAGAAUUAAUUUUUCUUAAUUUUUAAAAUAAACCUGACUUUUAAAACUAUCUGGGUCUAGUAUUUUUUUUUUGUGGGAAGAUUUUUAAAUUACUGAUUCAGUUUCUUUAAUGGACGUUGGACCAUUCAGGUUUUUUCUUCUUUAGUCGGUUUUGGUAAGUUAGCUUUCCUAGAACUGUGCCUGUUUCUUCCGUGUUUUUAAAUUUGUUGGCAGAAACUUGUUCAUGAUUGUUAGAUUUUUUCCUGACACCACCCGAUUCUCUGAUUCUCUGACAUCAACCGUGUGUCCAAAAAUUUGAUUUAAUUCGGACACUAAUUCCUAGAGUUGGCACAGGUUAAGGGCUCAGUCCCACAAGACUGCUCCCAUUUGAUUUGCCAGCUGCAGUGGGGUGCCCAGGCUGCCCACACUUCUGCUCAGCCGGCUGCAUAUUGGGGGGUUUCCAUGACCCUCUCCCCCCACCUCAGGUUUGAUAAUUCACUAGAAUGAGUCACAGAACUCAGGAAAACACUUUACUUACUGUUACCAGUCUAUUAUAGAGAAUACAACUCAGCAACAGUCAAAUGGAAGAGAUGCAUAGGGCAUGGUAUGGGGUGGAGGUGGGGUGUGGAGCUUCUAUGCCUUCUCUGGGCAUGCCACCCUCCCAGCAGUUGGAUGUGUUAACCAGCCCAGAAGCUCCCUGAACCUUGUUGUUUAGGAGUUUUUAAGGAGGCAUGAUUCAUUAAAUCAUUGGCUAUUGAUGUUCGAACAAAACCUCCAGACCCUUUCUCCUCUCCAGAGAUGGGGUUAGGGUGGGUAGGACUGAAAGUUCCAACUCUAAUCGCAUGGUUUGCUCCCCUGGCAAGUAGCUCUAAUCCUGAAGCUACCAAGAGGGCCCACCAGGAGUCACUUUAUUGACUUUGUGUCUUCUUCGAUUUCCUUCAUCAAUGUCUUAUAGUUUUGAGUGUAUCAGGUACACCUCCUCGGUUAAGUUCAUUACUAGAUAUUUUAUUCUUUUUGAUGUGAUUGUAAAUGGGAUUGUUUUCUUAAUUUCUUUUUCUG